Molecule: non-coding RNA, 28 nt
Filed under: Rattus norvegicus (Norway rat)
Lineage: Eukaryota; Metazoa; Chordata; Mammalia; Rodentia; Muridae
Source: RNAcentral
UCCUCCCUUGGUAUAAGGACAGCAGAUA